AGUGAACGCUGGCGGUAGGCCUAACACAUGCAAGUCGAACGGCAGCACAGGAGAGCUUGCUCUCUGGGUGGCGAGUGGCGGACGGGUGAGGAAUACAUCGGAAUCUGCCCAGUCGUGGGGGAUAACGUAGGGAAACUUACGCUAAUACCGCAUACGACCUUCGGGUGAAAGAGGGGGAUCGCAAGACCUCCCGCGAUUGGAUGAGCCGAUGUCGGAUUAGCUAGUUGGCGGGGUAAUGGCCCACCAAGGCGACGAUCCGUAGCUGGUCUGAGAGGAUGAUCAGCCACACUGGAACUGAGACACGGUCCAGACUCCUACGGGAGGCAGCAGUGGGGAAUAUUGGACAAUGGGCGCAAGCCUGAUCCAGCCAUACCGCGUGGGUGAAGAAGGCCUUCGGGUUGUAAAGCCCUUUUGUUGGGAAAGAAAUCUUUCAGGCUAAUACCCUGGGAGGAUGACGGUACCCAAAGAAUAAGCACCGGCUAACUUCGUG
Molecule: ribosomal RNA, 490 nt
Filed under: uncultured bacterium
Lineage: Bacteria
Description: partial 16S ribosomal RNA
Rfam family: Bacterial small subunit ribosomal RNA
Source: RNAcentral